RNAcentral lists this ribosomal RNA (253 nucleotides) under uncultured bacterium. RNAcentral describes it as "partial 16S ribosomal RNA". It matches the Rfam family "Bacterial small subunit ribosomal RNA", at positions 524 to 776 of the family's 1533-position model. The record is from RNAcentral.
UACGUAGGGGGCAAGCGUUGUCCGGAUUUAUUGGGCGUAAAGAGCGUGUAGGCGGCUAGGUAGGUCCGUUGUGAAAACUCGAGGCUCAACCUCGAGACGCCGAUGGAAACCAUCUAGCUAGAGUCCGGAAGAGGAGAGUGGAAUUCCUGGUGUAGCGGUGAAAUGCGCAGAUAUCAGGAAGAACCCCCGUGGCUAAGGCGGCUCUCUAGGACGGUACUGGCGCUGAGACCCGAAAGCGUGGGGAGCGAACAGG